This 253-nucleotide ribosomal RNA is filed under the name uncultured bacterium. RNAcentral's name for it is "partial 16S ribosomal RNA". It matches the Rfam family "Bacterial small subunit ribosomal RNA", at positions 524 to 776 of the family's 1533-position model. The record is from RNAcentral.
UACGGAGGGGGCUAGCGUUGUUCGGAAUUACUGGGCGUAAAGCGCACGUAGGCGGCUUUGUAAGUUAGAGGUGAAAGCCCGGGGCUCAACUCCGGAAUUGCCUUUAAGACUGCAUCGCUAGAAUUGUGGAGAGGUAAGUGGAAUUCCGAGUGUAGAGGUGAAAUUCGUAGAUAUUCGGAAGAACACCCGUGGCGAAGGCGGCCCCCUGGGCCGUACCUGACGCUGAGGCGCGAAGGCUAGGGGAGCGAACGGG